RNAcentral lists this ribosomal RNA (530 nucleotides) under bacterium 74-L049641-122-013-B10. RNAcentral describes it as "bacterial SSU rRNA". It matches the Rfam family "Bacterial small subunit ribosomal RNA", at positions 58 to 571 of the family's 1533-position model. The record is from RNAcentral.
CAAGUCGAGCGGAAGAUGGGAGCUUGCUCCCUGAUGUUAGCGGCGGACGGGUGAGUAACACGUGGGUAACCUGCCUGUAAGACUGGGAUAACUCCGGGAAACCGGGGCUAAUACCGGAUGCUUGUUUGAACCGCAUGGUUCAGACAUAAAAGGUGGCUUCGGCUACCACUUACAGAUGGACCCGCGGCGCAUUAGCUAGUUGGUGAGGUAACGGCUCACCAAGGCGACGAUGCGUAGCCGACCUGAGAGGGUGAUCGGCCACACUGGGACUGAGACACGGCCCAGACUCCUACGGGAGGCAGCAGUAGGGAAUCUUCCGCAAUGGACGAAAGUCUGACGGAGCAACGCCGCGUGAGUGAUGAAGGUUUUCGGAUCGUAAAGCUCUGUUGUUACGGAAGAACAAGUGCCGUUCAAAUAGGGCGGCACCUUGACGGUACCUAACCAGAAAGCCACGGCUAACUACGUGCCAGCAGCCGCGGUAAUACGUAGGUGGCAAGCGUUGUCCGGAAUUAUUGCGCGUAAAGGGCUCG